GAUGAAGAACGUAGCGAAAUGCGAUAAGUAAUGUGAAUUGCAGAAUUCAGUGAAUCAUCGAAUCUUUGAACGCACCUUGCGCCCUUUGGCAUUCCGAAGGGCAUGCCUGUUUGAGUAUCAUGAACACCUCAACUCUUCAUGGUUUUCCAUGAUGAGCUUGGACUUUGGGGGUCUUGCUGGCCUGCGGUCGGCUCCUCUCAAAUGAAUCAGCUUACCAGUGUUUGGUGGGCAUCACAGGUGUGAUAACUAUCUGCGCUUGUGGUUUUCCACCAAGUAACCUUCAGCAGUGGAGGUUCACUGGAGCUCACAGACGUCUCUCCUCAGUGAGGACAGCCCUUUGAAUGUUUGAUCUCAAAUCAGGUAGGACUACCCGCUGAACUUAAGCAUAUCAUAAGCGGAGGA
This 402-nucleotide unclassified non-coding RNA is filed under the name soil metagenome. RNAcentral's name for it is "partial contains 5.8S ribosomal RNA, internal transcribed spacer 2, and large subunit ribosomal RNA". The stretch from base 1 to 120 matches the Rfam family "5.8S ribosomal RNA", at positions 35 to 154 of the family's 154-position model. The record is from RNAcentral.